RNAcentral lists this ribosomal RNA (2554 nucleotides) under Escherichia coli KTE179. RNAcentral's name for it is "bacterial LSU rRNA". It matches the Rfam family "Bacterial large subunit ribosomal RNA", at positions 391 to 2925 of the family's 2925-position model. The record is from RNAcentral. Lineage: Bacteria; Pseudomonadati; Pseudomonadota; Gammaproteobacteria; Enterobacterales; Enterobacteriaceae.
CACAUAUUGUGAGCUCGAUGAGUAGGGCGGGACACGUGGUAUCCUGUCUGAAUAUGGGGGGACCAUCCUCCAAGGCUAAAUACUCCUGACUGACCGAUAGUGAACCAGUACCGUGAGGGAAAGGCGAAAAGAACCCCGGCGAGGGGAGUGAAAAAGAACCUGAAACCGUGUACGUACAAGCAGUGGGAGCCUCUUUAUGGGGUGACUGCGUACCUUUUGUAUAAUGGGUCAGCGACUUAUAUUCUGUAGCAAGGUUAACCGAAUAGGGGAGCCGAAGGGAAACCGAGUCUUAACUGGGCGUUAAGUUGCAGGGUAUAGACCCGAAACCCGGUGAUCUAGCCAUGGGCAGGUUGAAGGUUGGGUAACACUAACUGGAGGACCGAACCGACUAAUGUUGAAAAAUUAGCGGAUGACUUGUGGCUGGGGGUGAAAGGCCAAUCAAACCGGGAGAUAGCUGGUUCUCCCCGAAAGCUAUUUAGGUAGCGCCUCGUGAAUUCAUCUCCGGGGGUAGAGCACUGUUUCGGCAAGGGGGUCAUCCCGACUUACCAACCCGAUGCAAACUGCGAAUACCGGAGAAUGUUAUCACGGGAGACACACGGCGGGUGCUAACGUCCGUCGUGAAGAGGGAAACAACCCAGACCGCCAGCUAAGGUCCCAAAGUCAUGGUUAAGUGGGAAACGAUGUGGGAAGGCCCAGACAGCCAGGAUGUUGGCUUAGAAGCAGCCAUCAUUUAAAGAAAGCGUAAUAGCUCACUGGUCGAGUCGGCCUGCGCGGAAGAUGUAACGGGGCUAAACCAUGCACCGAAGCUGCGGCAGCGACACUAUGUGUUGUUGGGUAGGGGAGCGUUCUGUAAGCCUGUGAAGGUGGCCUGUGAGGGUUGCUGGAGGUAUCAGAAGUGCGAAUGCUGACAUAAGUAACGAUAAAGCGGGUGAAAAGCCCGCUCGCCGGAAGACCAAGGGUUCCUGUCCAACGUUAAUCGGGGCAGGGUGAGUCGACCCCUAAGGCGAGGCCGAAAGGCGUAGUCGAUGGGAAACAGGUUAAUAUUCCUGUACUUGGUGUUACUGCGAAGGGGGGACGGAGAAGGCUAUGUUGGCCGGGCGACGGUUGUCCCGGUUUAAGCGUGUAGGCUGGUUUUCCAGGCAAAUCCGGAAAACCAAGGCUGAGGCGUGAUGACGAGGCACUACGGUGCUGAAGCGACAAAUGCCCUGCUUCCAGGAAAAGCCUCUAAGCAUCAGGUAACAUCAAAUCGUACCCCAAACCGACACAGGUGGUCAGGUAGAGAAUACCAAGGCGCUUGAGAGAACUCGGGUGAAGGAACUAGGCAAAAUGGUGCCGUAACUUCGGGAGAAGGCACGCUGAUAUGUAGGUGAAGCGACUUGCUCGUGGAGCUGAAAUCAGUCGAAGAUACCAGCUGGCUGCAACUGUUUAUUAAAAACACAGCACUGUGCAAACACGAAAGUGGACGUAUACGGUGUGACGCCUGCCCGGUGCCGGAAGGUUAAUUGAUGGGGUUAGCGGUAACGCGAAGCUCUUGAUCGAAGCCCCGGUAAACGGCGGCCGUAACUAUAACGGUCCUAAGGUAGCGAAAUUCCUUGUCGGGUAAGUUCCGACCUGCACGAAUGGCGUAAUGAUGGCCAGGCUGUCUCCACCCGAGACUCAGUGAAAUUGAACUCGCUGUGAAGAUGCAGUGUACCCGCGGCAAGACGGAAAGACCCCGUGAACCUUUACUAUAGCUUGACACUGAACAUUGAGCCUUGAUGUGUAGGAUAGGUGGGAGGCUUUGAAGUGUGGACGCCAGUCUGCAUGGAGCCGACCUUGAAAUACCACCCUUUAAUGUUUGAUGUUCUAACGUUGGCCCGUAAUCCGGGUUGCGGACAGUGUCUGGUGGGUAGUUUGACUGGGGCGGUCUCCUCCUAAAGAGUAACGGAGGAGCACGAAGGUUGGCUAAUCCUGGUCGGACAUCAGGAGGUUAGUGCAAUGGCAUAAGCCAGCUUGACUGCGAGCGUGACGGCGCGAGCAGGUGCGAAAGCAGGUCAUAGUGAUCCGGUGGUUCUGAAUGGAAGGGCCAUCGCUCAACGGAUAAAAGGUACUCCGGGGAUAACAGGCUGAUACCGCCCAAGAGUUCAUAUCGACGGCGGUGUUUGGCACCUCGAUGUCGGCUCAUCACAUCCUGGGGCUGAAGUAGGUCCCAAGGGUAUGGCUGUUCGCCAUUUAAAGUGGUACGCGAGCUGGGUUUAGAACGUCGUGAGACAGUUCGGUCCCUAUCUGCCGUGGGCGCUGGAGAACUGAGGGGGGCUGCUCCUAGUACGAGAGGACCGGAGUGGACGCAUCACUGGUGUUCGGGUUGUCAUGCCAAUGGCACUGCCCGGUAGCUAAAUGCGGAAGAGAUAAGUGCUGAAAGCAUCUAAGCACGAAACUUGCCCCGAGAUGAGUUCUCCCUGAGUCCUUGAGACUCCUGAAGGAACGUUGAAGACGACGACGUUGAUAGGCCGGGUGUGUAAGCGCAGCGAUGCGUUGAGCUAACCGGUACUAAUGAACCGUGAGGCUUAACCUU